UCCAGACUCCUACGGGAGGCAGCAGUGAGGAAUAUUGGUCAAUGGGCGGAAGCCUGAACCAGCCAAGUCGCGUGAGGGAAGAAGGCCCUGCGGGUCGCAGACCUCUUUGGACGGGGAGCAAGGCCGCCGACGUGUCGGCGGAAGGAGAGUACCCGUAGAACAAGCAUCGGCUAACUCCGUGCCAGCAGCCGCGGUAAUACGGAGGAUGCGAGCGUUAUCCGGAUUUACUGGGUGUAAAGGGCGAGUAGGCGGGAUUGCAAGUCAGAUGUGAAAACUAUGGGCUCAACCGAUAGAGUGCAUUUGAAACUGCAGUUCUUGAGUGAUGGAGAGGCAGGCGGAAUUCCCGGUGUAGCGGUGGAAUGCGUAGAUAUCGGGAGGAACACCAGUGGCGAAGGCGGCCUGCUGGACAUUAACUGACGCUGAGGCGCGAAAGCGUGGGGAGCAAACAGGAUUAGAUACCCGAGUA
RNAcentral lists this ribosomal RNA (466 nucleotides) under uncultured bacterium. RNAcentral describes it as "bacterial SSU rRNA". It matches the Rfam family "Bacterial small subunit ribosomal RNA", at positions 330 to 792 of the family's 1533-position model. The record is from RNAcentral.